RNAcentral lists this small nuclear RNA (139 nucleotides) under Operophtera brumata (winter moth). RNAcentral's name for it is "U4 spliceosomal RNA". It matches the Rfam family "U4 spliceosomal RNA". From Rfam's summary of the family: U4 small nuclear RNA (U4 snRNA) is a component of the major U2-dependent spliceosome. The structure of U4 snRNA from yeast and human has been reported. Lineage: Eukaryota; Metazoa; Arthropoda; Insecta; Lepidoptera; Geometridae. The record is from Rfam by way of RNAcentral.
AACUUUGCGCAGAGGCAAUAUCGUAACCAAUGAGGUUAAUCCGAGGUGCGAUUAUUGCUAGUUGAAAACUUUACCAAUACCCCGCCAUGUGGACGUGAAAUACCGUCCGCUACGGCAAUUUUUGUACGGCUGUAAAGGC